GGGGGGGGGGGGCGGCGGGCUGGGCGCAGGCGGGGGGAGCGGGGCGGCCGUGGGGGGGGGGGGUGCGCGAGUGGCGAACGGGGGAGUAACACGGGAGGAACCUGCCCUUGACUUUGGGAUAACUUCAGGAAACUGGGGCUAGCAACGGCUAGGAGCUCCUUCUGCAUGGUGGGGGUUGGACAGUUUCGGCGGCUCGGGAUGGACUGGCGGCUUAUCAGCUUGUUGGUGGGGUAGUGGCUUCCCAAGCCUUUGACGGGUCGCCGGCCUUGGAGGGGGACCGGCCACAUUGGGACUGAGAGACGGCCCAGACUCGUACGGGAGGCAGCAGUGGGGAAUAUUGCACAAUGGGCGGAAGCCUGAUGCAGCAACGCCGCGUGCGGGAUGACGGCCUUCGGGUUGUAAACCGCUUUCGCCUGUGACGAAGCGUGAGUGACGGUAAUGGGUAAAGAAGCACCGGCUAACUACGUG
RNAcentral lists this ribosomal RNA (468 nucleotides) under uncultured bacterium. RNAcentral describes it as "partial 16S ribosomal RNA". It matches the Rfam family "Bacterial small subunit ribosomal RNA", at positions 38 to 507 of the family's 1533-position model. The record is from RNAcentral.